AUGUCAGACUCCUUGGUCCGUGUUUCAAGACGGGUCGGAUGGGGAGCCCGCAGGCCGUUGCAGCGCAGUGCCCCGAGGGACACGCCUUUCGGCGCGCGGGUACUGGCCGUGCCGACGACGGCCACCGGGGGCACCUAGGGCCCCCGGGCUUUGGCCGCCGGCGCAGCCGACAACAGUCCACACCCCGAGCCGAGCGGCGGACCAGCAAGAGCCGUUCCGCAUACGACCGGGGCGCAUCGCCGGCCCCCAUCCGCUUCCCUCCCGGCAAUUUCAAGCACUCUUUGACUCUCUUUUCAAAGUCCUUUUCAUCUUUCCCUCGCGGUACUUGUUCGCUAUCGGUCUCUCGCCUGUAUUUAGCCUUGGACGGAGUCUACCGCCCGAUUUGGGCUGCAUUCCCAAACAACCCGACUCGUUGACGGCGCCUCGUGGGGCGACAGGGUCCGGGCCGGACGGGGCUCUCACCCUCCCAGGCGCCCCUUUCCAGGGGACUUGGGCCCGGUCCGUCGCUGAGGACGCCUCUCCAGACUACAAUUCGGACGGCACAGCCGCCCGAUUCUCAAGCUGGGCUGCUCCCGGUUCGCUCGCCGUUACUAGGGGAAUCCUUGUAAGUUUCUUCUCCUCCGCUUAUUUAUAUGCUUAAAC
Molecule: RNA transcript, 642 nt
Organism: Triticum aestivum (bread wheat)
Lineage: Eukaryota; Viridiplantae; Streptophyta; Magnoliopsida; Poales; Poaceae
Exons: 1
Source: RefSeq, a predicted model, not a curated record